GACGAACGCUGGCGGCGUGCUUAACACAUGCAAGUCGAACGGAAAGGCCCUGCUUUUGUGGGGUGCUCGAGUGGCGAACGGGUGAGUAACACGUGAGUAACCUGCCCUUGACUUUGGGAUAACUUCAGGAAACUGGGGCUAAUACCGGAUAGGAGUUCCUGCUGCAUGGUGGGGGUUGGAAAGUUUCGGCGGUUGGGGAUGGACUCGCGGCUUAUCAGCUUGUUGGUGGGGUAGUGUCUUACCAAGGCUUUGACGGGUAGCCGGGCUGAGAGGGUGACCGGCCAAAUUGGGACUGAGAUGCGACACAGACUCGUACGGUAGGCAGCAGUGGAGAAUAGUGCACAAUGGGCGGAAGCCUGAUGCAGCAACGCAGCGUGCGGGAUGACGGCAUUCGGGUUGUAAACCGCUUUCGCCUGUGACGAAGCGUGAGUGACGGUAAUGGGUAAAGAAGCACCGGCUAACUACGUG
This 468-nucleotide ribosomal RNA is filed under the name uncultured bacterium. RNAcentral's name for it is "partial 16S ribosomal RNA". It matches the Rfam family "Bacterial small subunit ribosomal RNA", at positions 28 to 507 of the family's 1533-position model. The record is from RNAcentral.